CGAAUCCCACGCCCUCCUCGUCCGUGGCGGCCUGGAAGCCGAGGCGGGCGAACACGCCGCUGACCUUGGCCUGGGACUUGUUGGAGACCGCGUGGGCCGCGUUGGUCAGCUUGUUGGUCAGCUUGUGGCGGAUCAGGUCACCCUAUGUUCCUGCCUCUUCUGGGGGGAAAAAAAAGUGUUCACUCCAGCCAUUUGCAUCGUUGUCGCAACGGCUACCGGCAUCUCAUCCCCUCCAAGUUCCUUUCCUGCAAUUCUUUGGAUGAACGCUCAUAUUUGAUUGGCAAAGUUUGAAGGCGGACGCCCUUCCUGACGCAACCCUCUGCAUUUAUCCGGGCUUGGGACCCCCCUUAGGGCUGCAUUACAAUUGUACAACUAUAAUUAUAUGAAAUAUGACAUGAUGUGGGGCUCGCUUUAAAAACGCUGUGUUUUUUUUUGGUGGUUUUGCUUU
Long non-coding RNA from Phyllopteryx taeniolatus (common seadragon), 448 nucleotides. RefSeq lists it as uncharacterized. Lineage: Eukaryota; Metazoa; Chordata; Actinopteri; Syngnathiformes; Syngnathidae. The transcript has 2 exons. The record is from RefSeq and is a predicted model, not a curated record.